AGCGAACGCUGGCGGCAGGCCUAACACAUGCCAGUCGAACGAACUCUUCGGAGUUAGUGGCGGACGGGUGAGUAACACGUGGGAACGUGCCUUUAGGUUCGGAAUAACUCAGGGAAACUUGUGCUAAUACCGAAUGUGCCCUUCGGGGGAAAGAUUUAUCGCCUUUAGAGCGGCCCGCGUCUGAUUAGCUAGUUGGUGAGGUAAAGGCUCACCAAGGCGACGAUCAGUAGCUGGUCUGAGAGGAUGAUCAGCCACAUUGGGACUGAGACACGGCCCAAACUCCUACGGGAGGCAGCAGUGGGGAAUCUUGCGCAAUGGGCGAAAGCCUGACACAGCCAUGCCGCGUGAAUGAUGAAGGUCUUAGGAUUGUAAAAUUCUUUCACCGGGGACGAUAAUGACGGUACCCGGAGAAGAAGCCCCGGCUAACUUCGUG
RNAcentral lists this ribosomal RNA (433 nucleotides) under uncultured bacterium. Its description in RNAcentral is "partial 16S ribosomal RNA". It matches the Rfam family "Bacterial small subunit ribosomal RNA", at positions 29 to 507 of the family's 1533-position model. The record is from RNAcentral.